GAUGAACGCUGACAGAAUGCUUAACACAUGCAAGUCAACUUGAAUUUGGGUUUUUAACUUAGGUUUGGGUGGCGGACGGGUGAGUAACGCGUAAAGAACUUGCCUCACAGCUAGGGACAACAUUUGGAAACGAAUGCUAAUACCUAAUAUUAUGAUAAUAGGGCAUCCUAUAAUUAUGAAAGCUAUAAGCGCUGUGAGAGAGCUUUGCGUCCCAUUAGCUAGUUGGAGAGGUAACGGCUCACCAAGGCGAUGAUGGGUAGCCGGCCUGAGAGGGUGAUCGGCCACAAGGGGACUGAGACACGGCCCUUACGCCGACGGGAGGCAGCAGUGGGGAAUAUUGGACAAUGGACCAAGAGUCUGAUCCAGCAAUUCUGUGUGCACGAUGAAGUUUUUCGGAAUGUAAAGUGCUUUCAGUUGGGAAGAAAGAAAUGACGGUACCAACAGAAGAAGUGACGGCUAAAUACGUG
Molecule: ribosomal RNA, 467 nt
Filed under: uncultured bacterium
Lineage: Bacteria
Description: partial 16S ribosomal RNA
Rfam family: Bacterial small subunit ribosomal RNA
Source: RNAcentral